GUUUGAUCCUGGCUCAGGAUUAACGCUGGCGGCAUGCCUAAUACAUGCAAGUCGAACGAAAAAUAUAUAGAUGCUUGCAUUUAGAUAUUUUUAGUGGCGAACGGGUGAGUAAUAUAUAGAUAACCUACCUUUAAGUUGGGGAUAACAGAGGGAAACUUUUGCUAAUACCGAAUAAAAUAAUUAGACGCAUGUUUAAUUAUUAAAAGGGGCUUCAAAGCCCCGCUCUAAGAGGGGUCUAUAUCGCAUUAGCUAGUUGGUAAGAUAACAGCCUACCAAGGCUAUGAUGCGUAGCUGUACUGAGAGGUAGAACAGCCACAUUGGGACUGAGAUACGGCCCAAACUCCUACGGGAGGCAGCAGUAGGGAAUUUUCGGCAAUGGGGGGAACCCUGACCGAGCAAUGCCGCGUGAUUGAAGAAGAUCUUCGGAUCGUAAAGAUCUGUUAUUAGGGAAGAAUGGAAUUGAUAGGAAAUGAUCAAUUUAUGACGGUGCCUAAUGAGGAAGCCCCGGCUAACUAUGUGCCAGCAGCCGCGGUAAUACAUAGGGGGCGAGCGUUAUCCGGAAUUAUUGGGCGUAAAGGGUACGUAGGCGGGCCUGCAAGUCUGAUUUGAAAGCACACGGCUUAACCGUGUGAGGUAAUUAGAAACUACAGGUCUAGAGAGUGGUAGAGGUAAAUGGAAUUCCAAGUGGAGCGGUGAAAUGCGUAGAGAUUUGGAGGAACACCAGUGGCGAAGGCGGUUUACUGGGCCACAUCUGACGCUGAUGUACGAAAGCGUGGGGAGCAAACAGGAUUAGAUACCCUGGUAGUCCACGCCGUAAACGAUGAGUGCUAAGUAUCGGUAGAUUCGGUGCUUAAGCUAACGCAGUAAGCACUCCGCCUGGGGAGUACGGUCGCAAGACUGAAACUCAAAGGAAUUGACGGGGGCCCGCACAAGCGGAGGAACAUGUGGUUUAAUUCGAUGAUACGCGAGGAACCUUACCCGGGUUUGAAUUGCUGAUGGCGGUAUUUGGAGACAGAUACUUCCCUUCGGGGCGUCAGUGAAGGUGCUGCAUGGUUGUCGUCAGCUCGUGCCGUGAGGUGUCGGCUUAAGUGCCAUAACGAGCGCAACCCUUGCCGUUAGUUGCCAUCGGGUCAUGCCGGGCACUCUAUUGGGACUGCCAUCGUAAGAUGUGAGGAAGGUGGGGAUGACGUCAAAUCAGCACGGCCCUUAUGUCCAGGGCUACACACGUGCUACAAUGGCCGGUACAGAGGGCAGCCACCUGGUGACAGGGAGCAAAUCUCCAAAGCCGGUCUCAGUUCGGAUCGAAGUCUGCAACUCGACUUCGUGAAGUUGGAUUCGCUAGUAAUCGUAUAUCAGCAACGAUACGGUGAAUACGUUCCCGGGCCUUGUACACACCGCCCGUCA
RNAcentral lists this ribosomal RNA (1404 nucleotides) under uncultured bacterium. Its description in RNAcentral is "bacterial SSU rRNA". It matches the Rfam family "Bacterial small subunit ribosomal RNA". The record is from RNAcentral.